GAAGAAGAACGUAGCGAAAUGCGAUAAGUAAUGUGAAUUGCAGAAUUCAGUGAAUCAUCGAAUCUUUGAACGCACAUUGCGCCCCUUGGUAUUCCGAGGGGCAUGCCUGUUCGAGCGUCAUUAUAACCCCUCAAGCUCAGCUUGGUGUUGGGGCCUGCUGCACUGGCAGCCCUUAAAAUCAGUGGCGGCGCCAUCUGGCUCUAAGCGUAGUAAUUCUUCUCGCUAUGGAGUCCUGGUGGAUGCUUGCCAUCAACCCCCAAUUUUUCUAUGGUUGACCUCGGAUCAGGUAGGGAUACCCGCUGAACUUAAGCAUAUCAAUAAGCGGAGGA
RNAcentral lists this unclassified non-coding RNA (329 nucleotides) under soil metagenome. Its description in RNAcentral is "partial contains 5.8S ribosomal RNA, internal transcribed spacer 2, and large subunit ribosomal RNA". The stretch from base 1 to 120 matches the Rfam family "5.8S ribosomal RNA", at positions 35 to 154 of the family's 154-position model. The record is from RNAcentral.